AACCCAGUGGCGGAGCGGUUUCACGCGACUUGACACUCAAGUACACCCCUGUUCAAGUCAGGGCUGGGUUA
Non-coding RNA from Collybia nuda, 71 nucleotides. NCBI's taxonomy places the organism in Eukaryota, Fungi, Basidiomycota, Agaricomycetes, Agaricales, Clitocybaceae. The record is from the annotation of a GenBank genome assembly.